UACGAAGGGUGCAAACGUUUGCUCGGAAUUAUUGGGCGUAAAGCGCACGUAGGCGGCUUUGUAAGUCGGAUGUGAAAUCCCUCGGCUUAACCAAGGAAGUGCAUCCGAAACUACAGAGCUUGAGUACUUAAGAGGAUCGCGGAAUUCCCGGUGUAGAGGUGAAAUACGUAGAGAUUGGGAAGAACACCAGUGGCGAAGGCGGCUAUCUGGACGGUUUCUGACGCUAAGACGCGAAAAGCGUGGGGGAGCAAACAGG
Molecule: ribosomal RNA, 256 nt
Filed under: uncultured bacterium
Lineage: Bacteria
Description: partial 16S ribosomal RNA
Rfam family: Bacterial small subunit ribosomal RNA
Source: RNAcentral